GAAUUAGUGAGGGCUUUGGACUGCUGCUGAAUCAAUUUUGCCAGUAGUUUAUAUCAAAAGAACCAAAGACUUCAAUUUUUUAACAUUAAACUAUGAGAUUGUCUUCAGGGUUACACCAUGUUACCCACAGUACUGCAUAGCUAGGAAGUAAUAAUGUAGGCUGGAAUGGAGCUCCAUGAAGAAGUCUUUUCUUUAGGCUGAGUAGACAGAGAUCCUGACCGUUGGAGAAGGGUUACGAGUACAAGUUUAUUAAACGUGGUCUUUGAGCUGUAUCAGGCCAGUGUGUAUGCAGCCUUUUGGGGAAGAAGAGCGAGUUGCACCAACUGAAUGCCAAGUGCAUUGUGAAUGCCUGGUCCUGUGGCUCCCAUUUCAGAUCAAGUCUGGCCAGGGAUGAUUAUGGAGCAGGCUGCUGUGGCAGAGCUCCAUGAUGUGUAAAAGCGAAACUAUUCUGUGAGGAGACUUGGGAUUGCUUGGGGUAAGGAAGACAAAGGAUCUUGUCAGAGGGGGGAAAGCAGUUUCUGCAUGCAUUCAGCUACCAGUAACUUCAGUUAGUACCUUGUCUGGAGUGUUCCUGCAACUAUCAUUUUUUCUCUUCUCUAGAACUGACUGCUUUCUCAAAUCUAUCUUUGCAAGCAGACUACCUUCCCAUCAAAUUGGGGAAAAUGAUACACAAAUUAAAAAAAAAAAAAAAAAGCAGCUUUCAUCUUUUUAUUGCUGUUCUAACAGCCUCUCUAAACCUCCAGUAUCUGAGGAGAAAGCAUCAUAUCUUCAGUUGGAAAAUAAGAAGCAACCUUAAUUCUUAUACAAGGCAGAUGUACAGACUUGCCUAGAAGACAGUAUCAAAAGAACUUGCUAAUUUUUAUUAUUUUCACGCAGUGGAAUGCAUUAAAUUACUUUUCAUAACUCUGAAAUUGUUAUUGUUCAUCUGUUACUGGAGAUCAGUGGGAAUAUUGUGUUUCCUGGUGCCCAACACUCGGGGUUUUCAUGGAAAGAGG
RNAcentral lists this long non-coding RNA (995 nucleotides) under Phasianus colchicus (ring-necked pheasant). Its description in RNAcentral is "lncRNA (ENSPCLG00000006685.1)". Lineage: Eukaryota; Metazoa; Chordata; Aves; Galliformes; Phasianidae. The record is from RNAcentral.